AUGCAUGUGUGAGUUCAGCAUUAAUGAAAAGUGAAACCGCGAACGGCUCAUUAAAUCAGUCUUGGUUCAUUGGAUGGUUAAAAUCUACAGGGAUAACUGCGGUAACUCUGGAGCUAAUACUUGCAAUCGCCGUGGCCUCAUUGUAUCAGUGUUGAUCAUGGAAGCUUUUAUUACUUGUAAGAACAAUUAAUACGGACCUGUGCGCUGGAUUAUUGGUGAAACAGAAUAACUGCAGGACUUCAGAUGCUAUAUGCAGGAAGUGCAUCCUCCAAGUGUCUGCCCUAUCAACUUUGGACGGUAGUGUAUCGGACUACCGUGGUUGUCACGGGUAACGGGGAAUCAGGGUUCGAUUCCGGAGAGGGAGCCUUAAAGACGGCUACCACAUCUAAGGAAGGCAGCAGGCGCGCAAAUUACCCAAUUCCAGAAGGGAGAGGUAGUGACGAAAAAUAACAAUAUGAUGCUUUGGUAUUGUGAUUGGAAUGGAAGGGAAGUAAAACUACCCUUGAGGAACAAGUGGAGGGCAAGUCUGGUGCCAGCAGCCGCGGUAAUACCAGCAUCCACAAGCAUAUACAAAAGUUGCUGCGUUUAAAAAGCUCGUAGUUGGGUCUGUGUAGACACGACUUUACAGGUCUGUUGCUAACGCACGGGCGAGUCAGGUCUCCCUUGGUAUCGAUGGCUAUUGCGCUUAAUUGUGUUGAUUGUCAUGAAUGCCUAAUUUACUUUGAAUAAAAUAGAGUGUUCAAAGCAGCCUUUGGGUUUGGAUAUGAAAGCAUGGAAUAAUAGAGUAGGACUGUGUCCUAGUUAUGUUGGUCACGAGCGACACGGUAAUGAUUAAAAGGAACAAAAGGGGGCAUUCGUAUUGCUACGCUAGAGGUGAAAUUCUUGGAUCGUAGCAAGACGGACUACUGCGA
Molecule: ribosomal RNA, 911 nt
Filed under: Baltalimania arcuatum
Lineage: Eukaryota; Metazoa; Xenacoelomorpha; Acoela; Isodiametridae
Description: SSU rRNA
Rfam family: Eukaryotic small subunit ribosomal RNA
Source: RNAcentral